RNAcentral lists this ribosomal RNA (468 nucleotides) under uncultured bacterium. RNAcentral describes it as "partial 16S ribosomal RNA". It matches the Rfam family "Bacterial small subunit ribosomal RNA", at positions 28 to 507 of the family's 1533-position model. The record is from RNAcentral.
GACGAACGCUGGCGGCGUGCUUAACACAUGCAAGUCGAACGGAAAUGCCCUGCUUUUGUGGGGUGCUCGAGGGGCGAACGGGUGAGUAACACGUGAGUAACCUGCCCUUGACUUUGGGAUAACUUCAUGAAACUGGGGCUAAUACCGGAUAGGAUCUCCUGCUUCAUGGUGGGGGUUGGAAAGUUUCGGCGGUUGGGGAUGGACUCGCGGCUUAUCAGCUUGUUGGUGGGGUAGUGGCGUACCAAGGCUUUGACGGGUAGCCGGCCUGAGAGGGUGACCGGCCCCAUUGGGACUGAGAUACGGCCCAGACUAAUACGGGAGGCAGCAGUGGGGAAUAUUGCACAAUGGGCGGAAGCAUGAUGCAGCAACGCCGCGUGCGGGAUGACGGCCUUCGGGUUGUAAACCGCUUUCGCCUGUGACGAAGCGUGAGUGACGGUAAUGGGUAAAGAAGCACCGGCUAACUACGUG